This 497-nucleotide ribosomal RNA is filed under the name uncultured bacterium. RNAcentral's name for it is "partial 16S ribosomal RNA". It matches the Rfam family "Bacterial small subunit ribosomal RNA", at positions 28 to 507 of the family's 1533-position model. The record is from RNAcentral.
GACGAACGCUGGCGGCGUGCCUAAUACAUGCAAGUUGAGCGCUGAAGGUUGGUACUUGUACCAACUGGAUGAGCAGCGAACGGGUGAGUAACGCGUGGGGAAUCUGCCUUUGAGCGGGGGACAACAUUUGGAAACGAAUGCUAAUACCGCAUAAAAACUUUAAACACAAGUUUUAAGUUUGAAAGAUGCAAUUGCAUCACUCAAAGAUGAUCCCGCGUUGUAUUAGCUAGUUGGUGAGGUAAAGGCUCACCAAGGCGAUGAUACAUAGCCGACCUGAGAGGGUGAUCGGCCACAUUGGGACUGAGACACGGCCCAAACUCCUACGGGAGGCAGCAGUAGGGAAUCUUCGGCAAUGGACGAAAGUCUGACCGAGCAACGCCGCGUGAGUGAAGAAGGUUUUCGGAUCGUAAAACUCUGUUGGUAGAGAAGAACGUUGGUGAGAGUGGAAAGCUCACCAAGUGACGGUAACUACCCAGAAAGGGACGGCUAACUACGUG